CGUGUCGUCUGAAAUAGAAACAGUCCAAUCCCAAAGUUGGUUUUGUGUGCGUGCGUGUGUGUGUGUGUGUGUGUGUGUGUGUGUGUGUGUGUAUGUUAGGUUUAUGUCCACCACCAUCCCCUCCCUUCCUCUCUCUCUCUCUCUCUGCACUUCCUCUCCUUUGUGCAUCUUGGACUCCUGAAGGCCACUCAGAGCAUAGAUGCGGCAUCUUAUCAGGGCUCGCUUGGUCACCUUCUCAUUGAAACCGCAAGUCCAGAGAAGCUAAGUCUUGAUGGAAAUCUGGGGCAAAGAACUGGGAGCCUCUAGCCGGCCCCCUCCGCGCCGAGGCGCAGUCGGAUCCCGGAGCGCUUCUGCGUAGCGUCAGCGCGCCGGAUUGGCUUCCCAUGGGACCUGCAACUGUCUGGAAACAAAAAAAAAAAAAAAAAAAAAACCAACCCUACCAAAAGGGGGAAUUUAAAGGAGAGCAAGAAACCAUGAAGACAGAACCGAAAACGCCAGAGUAAAGACUUGCCCAACUGAUUUGAAAGCGUGCGUAAUUUUGCCCAGCGUACUUUUCUCUGCCUGCUUCCUUGGACCCAAUUUCCUUGUUCUUGUUCUGGAAGGUUUUUUGUUUGUUUGUUUGUUUUUGUUUUUGUUUUGUUUGUUUGUUUGUUUUAACUUUGCUUUACUUUGCCCGGGAACUGCAUGUUUGCAGACUCCUGCAGGCUCUCUACCCUUGGUAAUGGACAGGGAAUAGCACCCAGCUGGAGGCUUGGCUGGGGAAAAAAAAAAAACCCUGGCGUCACCCGCUGGUCCAGUCAAGGCACUCCCCUCCGGGUACCGCAGGAGCAGGCAGAGCCACUGCCCUCUGGGCUGCUGGUUACUGGGGUGAUCUGGGCCGGAGUGAUCUUAUUGAAUUUAUUAAUGACCAGAGAGAUUUCUUAAGCCAAGUCCCCAGAGAAUGAAUCCACAAUGAGUAAAACAGUUGCCGCUCCCUGGCUCUGGCCAAGGUUGCGAGUUGGGAAUCAUAGCUUCCUCCAGUUGGAGCACGAGGUGAGCUCACUGGUGGGCUCCGCUCUCUGGGAUUUGUGGUCUGAGCUGCUGGAACUUGAACUAAUAGUCUACGCUGCAACACGCUGUUGAAGACACUUCUGACUUAGUGUAAAUCUCUACUAAUAAUGGUACUGUCCUAAAAGCUGGCAGGAGUGUGGACAGAUUCGCGCCAUUCCUGUAAAACUGAUAACUUCUUCGAGAGUCGCUCAUCCGACUG
Molecule: long non-coding RNA, 1249 nt
Organism: Mus pahari (shrew mouse)
Lineage: Eukaryota; Metazoa; Chordata; Mammalia; Rodentia; Muridae
Exons: 4
Source: RefSeq, a predicted model, not a curated record